RNAcentral lists this small nucleolar RNA (212 nucleotides) under Marmota monax (woodchuck). It matches the Rfam family "Small nucleolar RNA U3". Rfam says of the family: Small nucleolar RNAs (snoRNAs) are involved in the processing and modification of rRNA in the nucleolus. Lineage: Eukaryota; Metazoa; Chordata; Mammalia; Rodentia; Sciuridae. The record is from RNAcentral.
UAGAAUUGUUUUUAAGAUCCUGUAUUGAAAUAAACAUUGUCUUAUUUUGUCUCUAACUAUCUAAAAUAUGUCUUGAGGAGGAGGCAUAGUGUUCCCUUCUGAGCGUGAAGCUGGCUUUUGGUUUUGCUUUGCUGCAGCUGCCUAUUGCCAUUGAUGAUCGUUCUUCUCUCCUUUCUGGAGAACAAGAGGGAGGGAAUGCAGUCUGAGUGGUU